UGCUUCUCGUCCCACGCCCACCCCACCCGCCAACCGAACCCUAGCGCCCUUUCUCCUUCCCCUCCAUCCCCACGAGCCGCCACACCCCUCCAUCUCUCCCUCAUCCUCUCCUCACCUGCAGCCGCUGUGCUUGUCUCUCCACUCGCCUCCUCCUCUCCUCUACCACGUCGUCGUCGAUCCACCGCCGGCCUUCUCCUCUGCUUACCUCCUCCUGUCCUCUUCCAUGUCGCCGUCGAUCCAGAUCAGACGUAUCGUCGUGGGGGAGCAGCGCCGGCAGGGUCUUCGCGGUGCGGGUGGGGGGUAGGAUGCGACGACAAGGGGAAGGAUGAGGCCGGUGAGGAAGGCAAGCAACAGCGGGUGGGGGUAAGGGGCAGGGUGAGGCCUCGCGCACCUGCCGGCGGCCUUCGGGUCGACUUGUCGCGCCACCGCGUCGUCGCCUCCUCUGCACCAUGCGGUGCCACCUCUGCCUCCACCCCCACCGGGCAAGGAGCUCGAGGUGAACAGGCGGUGUGGAAAGGCGAGAGGAAGCAGGAGCUCAUCUCUCCUCCAAUGGAUGUCUCGUGCAUCACGUGCCUGUUGGAGGUGGCUCGAGCGAUGCAGGCUAGCGGCGAACUAGAUCUGACAUAGAAGACCACGUUCCUCAGCGAUCCCAGAAUAUAUUAGACAAUAUGGUAGUCCAAUGCUGUUUUGAAGUAUAUAUUGGCACCAUGCUGACAGGAAGUGAAGACGGCCAGUCAUCGCGCCAUAUUCCCGUGAGCUCCAUUCAUAUUACUAUAUGCUUAAAACAUCGUGCUCUCCUUCUCUACAUCAUGUGGUUUGAUAUCAAACUCUCAAAAAGGAAAAACAACUUUACUCUGUUUUUUGGAGAACCUUCCUGUAGAGUACCUUGACAGAGACAAAUAUGCGAUCAAGGAUAUAUUCGAUGGAUUUUCACGCAAAACUUGGAGGAUAUUUUUUGCAGGUUCAUUGCUUGCUUUAUUGUUUUCUUACUUUCCGUUCUUCAAGACAAUAUCUUCCUAGCAUUGCUCUAUAAAUUUAAAUCCAUCUUUUUGUUCUUUGGAUUAUCAUGGCGUACUCGUCCUGUCUAAUCCAAGAAAGGGCCUUCAUGUUUGCAGAUAGUUUGGUGCUCUCAUGGUUAUUUUAUAGUGAUUUUCCUUGUAUUUGUUACUUGGUAACCAUCUACUGCAGCUUAGCUAUUGUCCAGUUGCUGACCUUAUGGUGAGUGAUUGAUGGUGCAUGUUUUCCUAUUAGUUUCUUUCUAUGCCAAUGUAUGAAUUUUAUCUUGCCGUUUUGCAUUUCUCCAGGCCUUUCAUUCUCACUGUGAUUCCCCGAGAUGCACUAUUAGUAGGCAUCCACUUCCUAAUAAAAAAUUGGCAGUCAACUUGAACGAGUCAUUUAUCUAGCUACAGCAACCUUCCUUGCUUUUGCAGUCAACUUGAACGAGUCUAUACCUGCCAAAUAUUUACACGUUAGUAUAGCCAGAAAGUCAGAUGAUCGUUCCAUGUUGGUUAGCCGUGAUAAAUCAAAUUUCUAGAGUAGCAGAUGAUUCGUGUCAGGUUUCCUUUAGAGAUUGAAAUAUGUCUUGACUCUAAAAUAAGUAGUACAGCGUCCAGUUCUGCAUAGGUGAAAGCAUACUAUCUAAAACUGGACGGCCUUCUAAAGCUCUGAAACUACUAUUUGUUGUGUAAUCUGUAUCCCCUUUUCAUACUCUAUAUAUGCUUUCUACUUACUAGGAAAAAAUGCGUGAGAACGAUGUCUUGAGGAUGCGAAUUGCACUCAAAUAUAUGCAGGUUUCUUGCCAAACUAACUGCCACUAUUUUAUUUCAGGUGCUUCUUCUGUAACUUAGUGUAUUUUGCUGGCUCUUCUCAUUUCCUGGUGAACUUUUUAGUCUGUACAGUCGAAUCGUUGGAAGUUGUUUUCUACUAUCUAUAGAGGUUUUUUCCAAACUAUUAGCUGCCUGACUUGCUUUUUUGAAGUACACCGUCCUGAUAGACCAAGUGGACCCACACAUUUCCAUGGGAUUUUAGAAAAAUAUAUGUGAAUUUGCAUACAUUUUCUAAAUUUCUAUCUUUUCUUAUCCAUGCUUCUAUAUAUAGCAGGCUCAACAAAAAUGAAUGUCUGAUUGUGUUCAAAUUUCAAGGAAGUGUGCUUCACGUUUCUCUUUCUGCAAUAUUUUUCUGAGUAUAUGAUUUAAUUUUCCUACUUUCCCAGUUACAAUACUGUCUACUUCAUUCUUAGCUUUGCUUUGGGAAAAAUAGGUAUGCAGGUUAUCGAAAGCUCCAUUUUUCUCCAUUAUAUAGAUCAUAUAGCUUUGUGAUCGAAGGUAGGUUGUCACAUAUGGGAUGUUGCCUGUGAAAGUUAUAUACAGCCAUGAGUCCCUGACAAAAUAAUCGCAGCUCAUGUUACUAGGAUCAGGGAACCUCGACCAUUUUUCUGAAACAUGUCGUAGCUCAUGUUCCUACUUUCCCAGCUACACUAUUAUGUACUUCAUUCUUACCUUCGCUUUUGGAAGUUACAUUGCUUUCUUUUCCCUCAUAAACUUGCUAGCGAUAUUGGCGAAGUAAUCCCCACUUCAGAUUUCCCAUUGAAUAAAUAACUAAUUUAGUUUGUUGUAAAAUUGUAGGUCAAGAUCCAUGAAUAGGAGCAAGGCAUCACACCAGCUCUGAGAAGAAAAGGAUAUGAAGACAAAGAUAGACCAGUGUUCUGCUCCGAAGCAAAAACAUUUUACGUGUAAUAAUGAACUGUAAUUUACCACAGUCUCUCUAAAACAGGCCUACCUAUUACCUGUCCGUUGCUUGCUUUUGUAUUAGGAAGUAUGACCCAGUCAUAUAUAUUUACAUUCACGUUGUUUAGUCAUGGUUUGUAUGCAUGAAAAUACCUUUUAAAUCUAGCUUCAAAAUUCUUAUGUGCAGUGAAA
This is a non-coding RNA of Aegilops tauschii subsp. strangulata, 2918 nucleotides long. NCBI's taxonomy places the organism in Eukaryota, Viridiplantae, Streptophyta, Magnoliopsida, Poales, Poaceae. The record is from RefSeq and is a predicted model, not a curated record.